CACACCGCCCGUCACGUCAUGGAAGGUGGCAACGCUUGAAGUCGCUGGGGCAACCCGCAAGGGAGCCCGGCGCCGAGGGCGGGGCUGCUGACUGGGACG
This 99-nucleotide ribosomal RNA is filed under the name uncultured bacterium. Its description in RNAcentral is "partial 16S ribosomal RNA". It matches the Rfam family "Bacterial small subunit ribosomal RNA", at positions 1386 to 1482 of the family's 1533-position model. The record is from RNAcentral.